Molecule: ribosomal RNA, 492 nt
Filed under: uncultured bacterium
Lineage: Bacteria
Description: partial 16S ribosomal RNA
Rfam family: Bacterial small subunit ribosomal RNA
Source: RNAcentral
GAUGAACGCUAGCUAUAGGCUUAACACAUGCAAGUCGAGGGGAAACGGCAUUAUGUGCUUGCACAUUUUGGACGUCGACCGGCGCACGGGUGAGUAUCGCGUAUCCAACCUGCCCUUUACUUGGGGAUACCCCGUUGAAAGACGGCCUAAUACCCGAUGUAAUUCAUUGAUGGCAUCAGAUAUGAAUAAAAGAUUUAUCGGUAAAGGAUGGGGAUGCGUCUGAUUAGCUUGUUGGUGAGGUAACGGCUCACCAAGGCGACGAUCAGUAGGGGUUCUGAGAGGAAGGUCCCCCACAUGGGAACUGAGACACGGUCCAAACUCCUACGGGAGGCAGCAGUGAGGAAUAUUGGUCAAUGGGCGCAAGCCUGAACCAGCCAAGUAGCGUGCAGGAAGACGGCCCUAUGGGUUGUAAACUGCUUUUAUACGAGAAUAAUUUGAUGCACGUGUGCGUUAUUGCAUGUAUCGGAUGAAUAAGGACCGGCUAAUUCCGUG